Non-coding RNA from Rattus norvegicus (Norway rat), 69 nucleotides. NCBI's taxonomy places the organism in Eukaryota, Metazoa, Chordata, Mammalia, Rodentia, Muridae. The record is from Rfam.
GGGGAUUUAGCUCAGUGGUAGAGCGCUUGCCUAGCAAAUGAAAGGCCCUGGGUUCGGUCCCCAGCUCCA